This 543-nucleotide ribosomal RNA is filed under the name Nemipterus japonicus (Japanese threadfin bream). RNAcentral describes it as "partial 16S ribosomal RNA". It matches the Rfam family "Bacterial large subunit ribosomal RNA", at positions 1857 to 2586 of the family's 2925-position model. Lineage: Eukaryota; Metazoa; Chordata; Actinopteri; Spariformes; Nemipteridae. The record is from RNAcentral.
GCCUGCCCGGUGACGAUAUGUUAAACGGCCGCGGUAUACUGACCGUGCCAAGGUAGCGCAAUCACUUGCCCUUUAAAUGGGGGCCCGUAUGAAUGGCAUCACGAGGGCUAAUCUGUCUCCUUUUUCCAGUCAAUGAAAUUGAUCUCCCCGUGCAGAAGCGGGGAUAAACCCAUAAGACGAGAAGACCCUGUGGAGCUUUAGAUACUAAGAUUGAUCCUCUUAAUAUACACAAAAUAAAGGUAUCUAAAUAAGGAAUACAAUCCGACUAUCUUUGGUUGGGGCGACCGCGGGGAUUAAAAGAACCCCCACGUGGACCAGGAAUAAAAAUUUUAUCCUCAUUCCUACAAUCAAGAGUUACCACUCUAAUUAACAGAACUUCUGACCAAAAAUGAUCCGACAAAGUCGAUCAACGGACCGAGUUACCCCAGGGAUAACAGCGCAAUCCCCUUUAAGAGUUCUUAUCGACAAGGGGGUUUACGACCUCGAUGUUGGAUCAGGACAUCCCAUUGGCGUAGAAGCUAUUAAGGGUUCGUUUGUUCAACG